GAGUUUGAUCAUGGCUCAGAUUGAACGCUGGCGGCAUGCCUUACACAUGCAAGUCGAACGGCAGCACGGGAGCUUGCUCCUGGGUGGCGAGUGGCGAACGGGUGAGUAAUGCAUCGGAACGUAUCCUGGAGUGGGGGAUAACGUAGCGAAGGUUACGCUAAUACCGCAUAUUCUGUGAGCAGGAAAGCGGGGGACCUUCGGGCCUCGCGCUCUUGGAGCGGCCGAUGUCGGAUUAGCUAGUUGGUGAGGUAAAGGCUCACCAAGGCGACGAUCCGUAGCAGGUCUGAGAGGAUGAUCUGCCACACUGGAACUGAGACACGGUCCAGACUCCUACGGGAGGCAGCAGUGGGGAAUUUUGGACAAUGGGGGCAACCCUGAUCCAGCCAUGCCGCGUGAGUG
This 399-nucleotide ribosomal RNA is filed under the name bacterium enrichment culture clone ALO1_GLFRUDD03G3FYK. RNAcentral's name for it is "bacterial SSU rRNA". It matches the Rfam family "Bacterial small subunit ribosomal RNA", at positions 9 to 407 of the family's 1533-position model. The record is from RNAcentral.